RNAcentral lists this ribosomal RNA (350 nucleotides) under Mola mola (ocean sunfish). Its description in RNAcentral is "partial 12S ribosomal RNA". It matches the Rfam family "Bacterial small subunit ribosomal RNA", at positions 846 to 1360 of the family's 1533-position model. Lineage: Eukaryota; Metazoa; Chordata; Actinopteri; Tetraodontiformes; Molidae. The record is from RNAcentral.
UUGACAGCAAACUACAUACGCUGUCCGCCCGGGAACUACGAGCAUUAGCUUAAAACCCAAAGGACUUGGCGGUGCUUUAGAUCCACCUAGAGGAGCCUGUUCUAGAACCGAUAACCCCCGUUCAACCUCACCCUUCCUUGUUUCUCCCGCCUAUAUACCACCGCCGUCAGCUUACCCUGUGAAGGUCUAACAGUAAGCAAAAUUGGCACAGCCCAAAACGUCAGGUCGAGGUGUAGCGUAUGGAAGGGGAAGAAAUGGGCUACAUUCCCUCCCCCAGGGAAUUAACGGACGAUGCAUUGAAAUAUGCAUCCGAAGGAGGAUUUAGCAGUAAGUGAAAAAUAGAGUGUCUC